CCGCGUCUGAUUAGCUAGUUGGCAGGGUAAAAGCCCACCAAAGCGACGAUCAGUAGCCGGCCUGAGAGGGUGAACGGCCACAUUGGGACUGAGACACGGCCCAAACUCCUACGGGAGGCAGCAGUGGGGAAUAUUGCACAAUGGGGGAAACCCUGAUGCAGCGACGCCGCGUGAGUGAAGAAGUAUUUCGGUAUGUAAAGCUCUAUCAGCAGGGAAGAAAAUGACGGUACCUGACUAAGAAGCCCCGGCUAACUACGUGCCAGCAGCCGCGGUAAUACGUAGGGGGCAAGCGUUAUCCGGAUUUACUGGGUGUAAAGGGAGCGUAGACGGCAGCGCAAGUCUGAAGUGAAAUCCCAUGGCUUAACCAUGGAACUGCUUUGGAAACUGUGCAGCUGGAGUGCAGGAGAGGUAAGCGGAAUUCCUAGUGUAGCGGUGAAAUGCGUAGAUAUUAGGAGGAACACCAGUGGCGAAGGCGGCUUACUGGACUGUAACUGACGUUGAGGCUCGAAAGCGUGGGGAGCAAACAGGAUUAGAUACCCUGGUAGUCCACGCCGUAAACGAUGAUUACUAGGUGUUGGGGGACCAAGGUCCUUCG
This 595-nucleotide ribosomal RNA is filed under the name uncultured bacterium. Its description in RNAcentral is "bacterial SSU rRNA". It matches the Rfam family "Bacterial small subunit ribosomal RNA", at positions 231 to 842 of the family's 1533-position model. The record is from RNAcentral.